GUGCUUGCUUUGGCAGCACAUAUACCAAAAUUGAAAUAAUACAGAUAAGAUUAGCAUAGGCCCUGCACAAGGAUGACAUGCAAAUUCAUGAAGGGUUCCUAUUUAGA
Molecule: small nuclear RNA, 107 nt
Organism: Microcebus murinus (gray mouse lemur)
Lineage: Eukaryota; Metazoa; Chordata; Mammalia; Primates; Cheirogaleidae
Source: Ensembl